GAGGGUAUAGCUCAGUGGUAGAGCGCGUGCCUAGCAUGCACAAGUUCCUGGGUUCAAUCCCCAGUACUUCCA
This 72-nucleotide transfer RNA is filed under the name Camelus bactrianus (Bactrian camel). It matches the Rfam family "tRNA". From Rfam's summary of the family: Transfer RNA (tRNA) molecules are approximately 80 nucleotides in length. Their secondary structure includes four short double-helical elements and three loops (D, anti-codon, and T loops). Further hydrogen bonds mediate the characteristic L-shaped molecular structure. tRNAs have two regions of fundamental functional importance: the anti-codon, which is responsible for specific mRNA codon recognition, and the 3' end, to which the tRNAs corresponding amino acid is attached (by aminoacyl-tRNA synthetases). tRNAs cope with the degeneracy of the genetic code in two manners: having more than one tRNA (with a specific anti-codon) for a particular amino acid; and 'wobble' base-pairing, i.e. permitting non-standard base-pairing at the 3rd anti-codon position. Lineage: Eukaryota; Metazoa; Chordata; Mammalia; Artiodactyla; Camelidae. The record is from Rfam by way of RNAcentral. RNAcentral also lists the same sequence under 1 other name.